This 565-nucleotide ribosomal RNA is filed under the name uncultured bacterium. Its description in RNAcentral is "bacterial SSU rRNA". It matches the Rfam family "Bacterial small subunit ribosomal RNA", at positions 8 to 572 of the family's 1533-position model. The record is from RNAcentral.
AGAGUUUGAUCCUGGCUCAGGAUGAACGCUGGCGGCGUGCUUAACACAUGCAAGUCGAGCGAAGCGCUCACGCGGAAUUUUUCGGAAGGAAGCGGGAGUGACUUAGCGGCGGACGGGUGAGUAACGCGUGGGUAACCUGCCCCAUACCGGGGGAUAACGGUUAGAAAUGACCGCUAAUACCGCUUAAGCGCGCGAGGCCGCAUGGCCGCGCGCGAAAAACUCCGGUGGUAUGGGAUGGGCCCGCGUCUGAUUAGCUAGUUGGCGGGGUAACGGCCCACCAAGGCGACGAUCAGUAGCCGACCUGAGAGGGUGGCCGGCCACAUUGGGACUGAGACACGGCCCAAACUCCUACGGGAGGCAGCAGUGGGGAAUAUUGCGCAAUGGGGGAAACCCUGACGCAGCAACGCCGCGUGAGUGAAGAAGUAUCUCGGUAUGUAAAGCUCUAUCAGCGGGGAAGAAGGAAGACGGUACCCGACUAAGAAGCCCCGGCUAACUACGUGCCAGCAGCCGCGGUAAUACGUAGGGGGCGAGCGUUAUCCGGAUUUACUGGGUGUAAAGGGAGCGU